AAGAUGUCACUCCAACCAUUUUGUAUUCAUUCAGCUACGCUUAUUCACUGAGUUUGAGGUUAUGUGAUAUUAGAAACGUUUAUACGGUAGGAUACACGUAAAAUGUAUCAAAAGAGAAGUAUCUUAUUGGGUCCCAGUAUUCUUGUAGCUGCCAAUUUUCUGUCCAAACUGACACCAGACGUAAGGAAAAAUGUUUUUAGAUGUAUGUUACAACUGGCAAUCAAUUCACUGGAAGGAAAAGAUAUACCUGAAGGUGCAUUGGACAGUGUCCAGGGACAAGACAUAUCACUGUCACAACUGUACGAGUCCUAUGCUGGAAUACAUAACCUUAUCCAGUCAUUUAUAAGCCUGCCACAGGGAUCAGUUAAUUCUGAUCAUCUGAAAGAAGGCUUAAAGGAAGUGAAAUUCCCUGACGAAUGUCAAACAGACCUCAUAAAUAUCCUUUAUGGACCAAAAAGACUAGCUUUGGAUGAGAAGAAUUGCCAGGACAGUUUCUAUUUGAAAUUGGAGAAGUUGAGAUGGAGGGUUGACAUAACCAUUUCAUCAAGGUCAUUGUGCAGUUCUUUUCAGAGUUAACAGAAGAAGAAAGACUCUAUGGCUGGUUUUAGGAAGACUGAGCUACUGCCCACACUGCACGUGUCUCUGUGCAGGGCUUUGUCUGAUGUCUUCGGGGACAGAAUUGCCAGCAUGCUCACCUGAUCUUAAUACUCAUGAUUUUUUCUUCUGGGAUUGUGUGGAGGACAAAGUUUACAGUAACCCCUGAAUGGAAGAACCAAAAGAAAAUAUUCAUAGGGAAAUUGCAAAUAUUCCUAUAGAACAAGUAAAUCAGAACCGCUUCUGCCAGUGUGAGGACUGUAUACAUGUAGAGAGGGACAGCAUUUUCAACACCUCUUAUGAUCUGUGAACAAAGUGUUCUAUCAAGAGUUCUGGAACCCAGCAUACUGUUCGAGAUGACCCUGAGUAAUGGCGAGAAGAAAACAUUUGAAGUGUCCAU
Molecule: RNA transcript, 994 nt
Organism: Cryptotermes secundus
Lineage: Eukaryota; Metazoa; Arthropoda; Insecta; Blattodea; Kalotermitidae
Gene name: COMM domain-containing protein 5-like
Exons: 5
Source: RefSeq, a predicted model, not a curated record